GAUGAGGACUCCCACCCACUUUGUUGGGGUAAGGCUCCCAGUAGACGACUGGGUUGAUAGGCCGGAGAUGGAAGACCUGUGAGGGUUGGAGUUGACCGGUACUAAUAGGCCGAGGGCUUGACCAUAU
This 127-nucleotide ribosomal RNA is filed under the name Streptomyces durbertensis. Its description in RNAcentral is "partial 23S ribosomal RNA". It matches the Rfam family "Bacterial large subunit ribosomal RNA", at positions 2803 to 2925 of the family's 2925-position model. Lineage: Bacteria; Bacillati; Actinomycetota; Actinomycetes; Kitasatosporales; Streptomycetaceae. The record is from RNAcentral.